AAGUCCCCGGCUACACAAGGCAGUUCUUGUGAUUCUUGACCACAAAAAAUGGUUUCCACCCUUAAGGGUGACCAGAACAAACACUGUCUUCGAGUUUUCCAUGAACAGACCGUUGGGUAAACCUAUUGUCCAACGGUUAAAAGAAAAACAUCAAGAACGAUGAAAAAGAAAAGAUUUUUUUGUGCAGAAGUUUAUGGGGAGGGUGAACCGAAAAGGGU
This 218-nucleotide long non-coding RNA is filed under the name Arabidopsis lyrata. RNAcentral describes it as "long non-coding RNA (ALYR_LNC001993)". Lineage: Eukaryota; Viridiplantae; Streptophyta; Magnoliopsida; Brassicales; Brassicaceae. The record is from RNAcentral.